RNAcentral lists this ribosomal RNA (803 nucleotides) under uncultured bacterium. RNAcentral's name for it is "bacterial SSU rRNA". It matches the Rfam family "Bacterial small subunit ribosomal RNA", at positions 58 to 877 of the family's 1533-position model. The record is from RNAcentral.
CGGAAAGUUUUAUGACGCUUCGGUUGAUUGAAACUUUUAGUGGCAAACGGGUGAGUAAUGCAUAAAUAAUCUGCCCUUGAGACCGGGAUAACUUUUCGAAAGGAAAGCUAAUACUGGAUAAUCUUUCUUAUCAUAAGAUAUAGAAAGCAAAUGUUUUUUCGCUCAAGGAUGAGUUUAUGUCUGAUUAGCUAGUUGGUAGGGUAAUGGCCUACCAAGGUUACGAUCAGUAGCUGGUCUGAGAGGAUGAUCAGCCACACUGGGACUGAGAUACGGCCCAGACUCCUACGGGAGGCAGCAGUGAGGAAUAUUGCGCAAUGGGCGAAAGCCUGACGCAGCAACGCCGCGUGAAUGAUGAAGUUUUUCGGAAUGUAAAGUUUAGUCACCAGAGAUGAUAAUGACAGUAUCUGGAGAGGAAACCCCGGCUAAGUACGUGCCAGCAGCCGCGGUAAGACGUGCGGGGUAAGCGUUAUCCGGAAUCACUGGGCAUAAAGAGUGUGUAGGCGGAAAUGUGUGUCAGGUGUGAAAGGCUUUGGCCUAACCAAAGUAAGCACUUGAAACUGCAUUUCUAGAGGAUAGUAGAGGAAAGCGGAACUUACGGUGUAGCGGUGAAAUGUGUAGAUAUCGUAAGGAACACCAGUUGCGAAGGCUGCUUUCUGGGCUAUUUCUGACGCUAAAGCACGAAAGCGUGGGUAGCGAACGGGAUUAGAUACCCCGGUAGUCCACGCCGUAAACGUUGUUCACUAAGUGUAGGGAGAAUCGAUCCUCUCUGUGCCACAGAUAAUUCUUUAAGUGAACCGCCUGGG